RNAcentral lists this long non-coding RNA (4577 nucleotides) under Anas platyrhynchos (mallard). RNAcentral's name for it is "lncRNA (ENSAPLG00020001829.1)". The record is from RNAcentral. Lineage: Eukaryota; Metazoa; Chordata; Aves; Anseriformes; Anatidae.
UGGUGCAUCGCGCCGUCACUCCGCUUUCUCUCGGCGCUCAUUGGACGAGGCGGAGGCUCCCCCCCUGCCUCCCGCCCCUCCCGCCGCCGUCGGUCGAGGCGAGCCGCGAGUAAAUAGAGGCAGGAGCGCAAAAUGGCGGCGCCGCCGAGCCCCGGCCGUGGCGCCGCGUCGCCAGAGCCCUUGGGCUCCAGGCCGGGCCCGGACGCGAAGCCUCCCCGCGGGUCGCAGCCGGCCGCUAAGAAAAUGAAAGGGACCGACGAGAGGAGCCUGAAGGGCUCCAAGCGUGUCAACGGCGAAGGGGGCGGUGGAGGAGGAGGAGGAGGAGGCGGCAGCAAGCAGCCGGUGGUGCCGAGCUUCGGCGGCCCCGCGGCGUGGGGCUUCGCCGCGCUGCCCUCGGGGAGCUCGGGGGGCUUCGCCUUCCCCUCGCCGCUGCCCAAGAAGCUGCUGCCGUCGCCGCCCGUCGUGCUGCUGCCGCCGCCGCCGCCUCCCGCCUCGCCCUCCUCUUCCUACCGGCAGCACCAGCACCGCCACCACCGGCACCGCCUGGCUCUGCCCGCCGAGGGGGGUGCCGGCGGCUGUGCUGGCGGAGGGGUGGCCGUGGUGGGCAGCGCCAAGGCGAAGAAGCCGAAGGAGAAGCGGGAUAAGGAGAGGAGGAAGCACGGAGCCAUGCCCGGGGCUGGGAUCGUCGCCGCUGCCGCCGCUGCUGCUGUGGGGGGAGAUGGCGGCGGGGCGCUGAGCGCGGCGGCCCGUGAGGAGAACGGGGAGGUGAAGCUGCUGCUGCAGAAAGCUCAAAUCAAAGAGAAAAUGAAAGAAAGGGAAAAGAAACAGAAAGAGAAGAAGAAGCACAAAAUAAUGAAUGAAAUCAAGAAAGAGAAUGGAGAGAUCAAAUUAUUGCAGAAAGGUACGUUCAAGCUGCUUAGUGUUUUUUCAUUGUAGUGCUUUUAAAACCUUUGCAAUUGGAUUGAGUGCUGAAUUUUAAUAUUAUGUCUUUCAUUUAACUUAAAUGCCCUUUUCCAGGAAUAGCUGGUAUAAGGCUUGGAAUUUAAAACUUAAUUAUAAAUGCUAACUUUCUUCAACUGCAGACACUGCAGCUUAAAAAUAUACGUGUAAUUAUUGCCACAAUGCCAGUGUUCUUAUGCAGUAGCAGUAAAGACUGACGCUUUAAGGAAUGACAUUGCUGAUAUCUACACCAUCUCAACAGUUUGAAGAAGAUUUCUGUAUCAGUAGAGAGGAAAAAUGAAUCCAUGUCAUUAAAUAUCUAAUAGUAAAUGCACAAAACUAAAGAACCAAGGGGUUCUAGUUCAGGAACUUUGUUGCAUAAUGAGAAAUUAAGUGUGUGCAACAGGAAGUCGUAAUUUUGGCUAAUUUAUCCAAGCUCCAUUACUGCAGUGGAAUGUAAUGAAAAUGUUCCUGCACUUGCUUGUGCACGCACUGACUCGUAAAAUAGUACAGUAGUUGAGGGUGGGGGGGGGGCUCUGCAGAUAAUUUAGUCUAAUGCCACUGCUCAAAGUAGAACUGAGUAAAGCAGGUUUCUGAGGGCUGUGUCCCAUCAGACUCUGUGUCUGCAAGGAUGUAGACUCCAGAAUUUGCACAGCCAGUACCUGCAUUUGACCACCCUUGUUGUCUUACGUUGGAUUGGACUAGGUGAUUUCAAGGGGCCUUUACCAGCCUCAUUGAUUUUUGUGAGAUAUCUGCAUCUUUAUUCCUUCCCACUAGAUGUUUACACACACUGGAAAACUAAUUAACCUCAUAAAGCCUUUUCAGGCUGAAAAAUCCUGCUUUUCUUAGCAUCUCCUUUUGUGAGUAGUACUCUGUUCCUUCAGUCAUCUUCCUGGCCCUUUGCUGGACUUCCUCCAGUGUGCACAUGUCUGCCUUGGACUGGUGAGCCCAGAACUGGGCACGAUACUUCCAGAUGUAUGUCAACAGUGCUGAGCAAAGGGGAAGAAUCACUCCACCAGCCUGCUGGUGGAGCAGUUAAUGUUAUUCCUAAUCCUGUCCAGGAGACUUAGCCUGAUGGCUUAUGGUCAGCUUGGCAUUCACGAGGGCUCUGAAGUCCUUUCCUGUCAGGCUGCUUUCCAGUUGGGCUCCAGCCUGCAGAGCACAGGGUUAUUCCUCACAGCUGCAGGACUCUGCACUUCCCCGAGUUAACCUUGUGAGACUUCUGCUGGCCUGAUGUUCUCCAGCCUGUCAAGGGCCCUCUGGCUUGGCAGCACAACCCUCUUGUGCAUCAACCACUCCUUCCAGUUCUGUCUCCUCUGCGGACUUGCUGAGGGUGCUCUCUGUUCCGUCAUCCCUGCCACUACUGAAGAAUACCGAGCAGUGUUGGCCCACAGUAUCGGCACUGGAGUGCCCCAGUAUCACUGUCCUCUAGCUGGACAUCGUGCUGCUGAUCACAACCCUUUGAGCUCUGCAGUUAAGCCAGUCCUUGAUCCACCUCACUCUCCAUUUAUCUGCAUCGCGCUUUGCCGGUUUUUCCUGUGAGGAUGUUGGCUUGUUUAAGUAGACCCAAUGUUUUUUUAUCUGUUAUUUUCAGGCUUUGCUUUUGAAGUUAGGCAUAAACUCCUGAUAAUUUUUUCUGUUAUGCCUACUCUAGGGUUUAACUUACAACAAAAAACUGAACCUCCCAAAACAAAACGUUAUCUACAGCACAUUCCUGUGAGGUAGCAGGCAUGCAACUCUGUAAUUCCCGCAUCACGGUUUAGAGUGCAAAUACGGAUCCAAGGAACUGCAGUAGAAACUAUGACAGCUUAAAACCCGUGCCGAGCAGAUCUCUAGGUAUCAGCCUGCAGCACGCAGGAUGUUUGAGCUGGUGGCUUCCUGUGAAAGAUGUGACUUGUCUCCUCCAACGUGGAAGGAAGUUGGUGGCUGAGAUACUGAGCAAUGCUUAACUGCCUGGGCAGUGACGAUCUUCAGGCCUGGUUUCUGCACCAGCGCUUCCUACCUCAUGUGAUGAAUGGCAGCAGAAAGAGGCCAUGGGGUAGGAAGUUGCAAAAAGCAGCAAGGUUCUGUGGGGCAGCAGUGUCCUGUAGAGGCUGUGCCUGGUUUUGCCAGUGUCCUGCAAAAUUACUCCUGUUUCAAAGAAAGGAGUGUGUCAGGAGAGCAGAAAGCAGGCAGGAUAUAAACCUUCAUGGGGUUUAUAUCAUGUUCAGAACAGCAGCUCGGGAAUGUCUUUGUGGGCCUCCCCAGGUGUGUCCGGAUGUGCUUUUAUGUUCUGUGGUGAUGGUACAGCAUUUCCUGACUGCUUUGCUGCUGUAGCUCCAUGUCCUGACAGCUGAGGGCUAGAGGGCAAAGGCCCUACAAGAUAUAACAGUGCCUCUGUGACCUUCUGGAACGCUGGUAUCCUGAGGAGAACUUCUUCCUGGAACAAAAAUCAAGCUCUAUGCCCUCUUAUUCUGUGCUCACAAUUCACUGCAUGGACUAGGAGCAACGACUUGAAACCUCUGAGAACUCAGUGCCAGUCUGUGGGGACUGGUUAUGUCUCCUCCUAGGCAUUACAACCAGAUUUUGUUUUAAAAAUGUCACUUACCGUCUGCUGAAUGCUUUUAUUAUGCUGAGAAUAUUAUUAGUUUUUUGUCUUCUAUUUGUGACGUUCUUUAAGGGAGUGGUGGCAAUAGCCUGCGUAACUCCAGACAGUCAAACCAGGUGCCCGAGGUAAGGGUGGCUAGUUACAUGGGUCAGCAUUGAGAGCUUGAGGCCUUUUUGGGGAGAACUGCUGUAUAAGCCUGGUGUUGGUGCUUUGAGCUUAAUGCUGGAAGAGUUCACCUCAAUUAGAGAAGCUUAGGGAUGCAAGCAAUUCAUCUGCCUAAAUUGGUGGUGCCUUUCUGUUGAAAGCAGCAAUAAAUGUGCAGAAGGGCAACUUUAAAAAGGGGUAUUCUAUCGCUUCCUGACCUGAUUUAAAAAAAAAAAGUUAGCUCUUUCAGUGGGCCUGGUGGCUUUUAAGCAUCUAGAGCUAAAUGUUUUUGUCAUCCUUUUUCACUAGUAGAUAUUUUUUGCAGAGUAAAUCCAUAUAGUUGUUCCUUUUCCUCUGUAAUCUUUUAUUUGGAAGUGAAGACUGGUUUUUGGAAACAAAACUGCCUUAUACUUCCUUAAAUUGCUUAUUCCCGCCGUACUGAUUUGCAUGUACUAAUGACUUUACCAUCCUUAUGCACCAAGUUGCCAACUUCUACCUGUGAAAUAGAUGAGGACAGGGUAAACCACAGACAGUAAAAUACAGGUAAGGUUUGUGUGAUGAGAUGAUCUGAGAGCAGAGCUCUUAAAUUCCAGUGGGCCUCAGCCAUUUUUCAGAAAGAAUGCAGGCAGUCAUCCGUUUACCUCGUGCUGCUAGUGGGUCACUGCUUUCCGAGUUCAGCAGAGGCAUCUUUGCUGCGUGACCUUGCUUCCUUCCCUUCCCCAACUGCCUCAUUUCUGCCGCUGCAGUUGUGGCUGUCUGCAUUGCUCCUCCUGUUUAGCUGAUGCCUUCUGCUGGCUACAAUGAGGACCUGAGAGGAACCACAGGGCUAUCAGGGUGUGCUGCCUUAGGAUGGGAGCUCAAGGAAGAGCAGAGCUGCCCUAGCAUUGUAGGGGACAUGGGGUGGGAC